This 483-nucleotide ribosomal RNA is filed under the name uncultured bacterium. RNAcentral's name for it is "bacterial SSU rRNA". It matches the Rfam family "Bacterial small subunit ribosomal RNA", at positions 36 to 518 of the family's 1533-position model. The record is from RNAcentral.
CUGGCGGUAUGCUUAACACAUGCAAGUCGAACGAGACGAGAUGGAAGGAUCCUCGGGUGACGGAAAUCUUAGAAAGUAGGCAACGGGUGAGUAACGCGUGGGUAACCUGCCCUAUGGAAAGGAAUAGCCUCGGGAAACUGGGAGUAAUGCCUUAUAAUACAUUGAAGUCGCAUGGCUUUGAUGUUAAACGCUCCGGUGCCAUAGGAUGGACCCGCGUCCCAUUAGCUAGUUGGUGAGAUAACAGCCCACCAAGGCGACGAUGGGUAACCGGUCUGAGAGGGCGAACGGUCACACUGGAACUGAGACACGGUCCAGACUCCUACGGGAGGCAGCAGUGGGGAAUAUUGCGCAAAUGGGGGAAACCCUGACGCAGCAAUACCGCGUGAGUGAAGAAGGUUUUCGGAUCGUAAAGCUCUGUUAUUGGGGAAGAAAAAAGACGGUACCCAAGAAGAAAGUCCCGGCUAACUACGUGCCAGCAGCCGC